Molecule: ribosomal RNA, 796 nt
Filed under: uncultured archaeon
Lineage: Archaea
Description: bacterial SSU rRNA
Rfam family: Archaeal small subunit ribosomal RNA
Source: RNAcentral
ACGGCUCAGUAACACGUGGAUAACCUGCCCUUGGGUCUGGCAUAACCCCGGGAAACUGGGGAUAAUACCGGAUAACGCAUAUAUGCUGGAAUUCUUUAUGCGUGAAAUGGAUUCGUCUGCCCAAGGAUGGGUCUGCGGCCUAUCAGGUAGUAGUGGGUGUAAUGUACCUACUAGCCGACGACGGGUACGGGUUGUGAGAGCAAGAGCCCGGAGAUGGAUUCUGAGACAUGAAUCCAGGCCCUACGGGGCGCGGCAGGCGCGAAAACUUUACAAUGCGGGAAACCGUGAUAAGGGGACACCGAGUGCCAGCAUCAUAUGUUGGCUGUCCGGGUGUGUAAAAUACACCUGUUAGCAAGGGCCGGGCAAGACCGGUGCCAGCCGCCGCGGUAACACCGGCGGCCGGAGUGGUGAUCGUGUUUAUUGGGUCUAAAGGGUCCGUAGCCGGUUUGGUCAGUCCUCCGGGAAAUCUGACGGCUUAACCGUUAGGCUUUCGGGGGAUACUGCCAGACUUGGAACCGGGAGAGGUAAGAGGUACUACAGGGGUAGGAGUGAAAUCUUGUAAUCCCUGUGGGACCACCUGUGGCGAAGGCGUCUUACCAGAACGGGUUCGACGGUGAGGGACGAAAGCUGGGGGCACGAACCGGAUUAGAUACCCGGGUAGUCCCAGCCGUAAACGAUGCUCGCUAGGUGUCAGGCAUGGCGCGACCGUGUCUGGUGCCGCAGGGAAGCCGUGAAGCGAGCCACCUGGGAAGUACGGCCGCAAGGCUGAAACUUAAAGGAAUUGGCGGGGGAGCAC